Non-coding RNA from Acanthosepion pharaonis, 110 nucleotides. Lineage: Eukaryota; Metazoa; Mollusca; Cephalopoda; Sepiida; Sepiidae. The record is from the annotation of a GenBank genome assembly.
CAGCCACAUCACAUUGAAACACUGGUUCCCAUAGGAUGUCUGAAGUUAAGCAACAUCAAGCCUAGUUAGUACCUAGAUGGGUGACUGCUUGAGAAUACAAGGUGCUGUAA